This 59-nucleotide transfer RNA is filed under the name Paracoccaceae bacterium. RNAcentral's name for it is "Rhodobacteraceae bacterium (marine metagenome) tRNA-Arg". It matches the Rfam family "tRNA", at positions 7 to 62 of the family's 71-position model. Rfam says of the family: Transfer RNA (tRNA) molecules are approximately 80 nucleotides in length. Their secondary structure includes four short double-helical elements and three loops (D, anti-codon, and T loops). Lineage: Bacteria; Pseudomonadati; Pseudomonadota; Alphaproteobacteria; Rhodobacterales; Paracoccaceae. The record is from RNAcentral.
GUAGCUCAGCUGGAUAGAGUACUUGACUACGAAUCAAGGGGUCGGGGGUUCGAAUCCUC